This 441-nucleotide ribosomal RNA is filed under the name uncultured bacterium. RNAcentral describes it as "partial 16S ribosomal RNA". It matches the Rfam family "Bacterial small subunit ribosomal RNA", at positions 339 to 795 of the family's 1533-position model. The record is from RNAcentral.
CUACGGGUCGCUGCAGUGAGGAAUCUUGGACAAUGGGCGAAAGCCUGAUCCAGCGACGCCGCGUGGGUGACGAAGGCCUUCGGGUUGUAAAGCCCUGUCAGAGGGGAAGAAGUUCUGACGGUACCCUCAGAGGAAGCACAGGCUAACUCCGUGCCAGCAGCCGCGGUAAUACGGAGUGUGCAAGCGUUGCUCGGAAUCACUGGGCGUAAAGGGCGCGUAGGCGGCUUGGUAAGUUGGAUGUGAAAGCCCUCGGCUCAACCGAGGAACUGCAUCCAAAACUGCCUGGCUAGAGUACGGAAGAGGAAGGCGGAAUUCCCAGUGUAGGGGUGAAAUCCGUAGAUAUUGGGAAGAACACCAGUGGCGAAGGCGGCCUUCUGGGACGAUACUGACGCUGAGGCGCGAAAGCGUGGGGAGCAAACAGGAUUAGAUACCCGUGUAGUC